AUUGAACGCUGGCGGCAUGCCUUACACAUGCAAGUCGAACGGCAGCAUGAUCUAGCUUGCUAGAUUGAUGGCGAGUGGCGAACGGGUGAGUAAUACAUCGGAACGUGCCCUGUAGUGGGGGAUAACUAGUCGAAAGAUUAGCUAAUACCGCAUACGACCUGAGGGUGAAAGUGGGGGACCGCAAGGCCUCAUGCUAUAGGAGCGGCCGAUGUCUGAUUAGCUAGUUGGUGAGGUAAAGGCUCACCAAGGCGACGAUCAGUAGCUGGUCUGAGAGGACGAUCAGCCACACUGGGACUGAGACACGGCCCAGACUACUACGGGAGGCAGCAGUGGGGAAUUUUGGACAAUGGGCGAAAGCCUGAUCCAGCAAUGCCGCGUGUGUGAAGAAGGCCUUCGGGUUGUAAAGCACUUUUGUCCGGAAAGAAAUGGCUCUGGUUAAUACCUGGGGUCGAUGACGGUACCGGAAGAAUAAGGACCGGCUAACUACGUG
RNAcentral lists this ribosomal RNA (490 nucleotides) under uncultured bacterium. RNAcentral describes it as "partial 16S ribosomal RNA". It matches the Rfam family "Bacterial small subunit ribosomal RNA", at positions 30 to 507 of the family's 1533-position model. The record is from RNAcentral.